GAUGAACGCUGGCGGCGUGCCUAAUACAUGCAAGUCGAGCGAACAGAUGAGGAGCUUGCUCCUCUGACGUUAGCGGCGGACGGGUGAGUAACACGUGGAUAACCUACCUAUAAGACUGGGAUAACUUCGGGAAACCGGAGCUAAUACCGGAUAAUAUAUUGAACCGCAUGGUUCAAUAGUGAAAGACGGUUUUGCUGUCACUUAUAGAUGGAUCCGCGCCGCAUUAGCUAGUUGGUAAGGUAACGGCUUACCAAGGCAACGCUGCGUAGCCGACCUUGGGGGGUGGUAGGCCAACAGAGAAAUGGGGAAAGGUCCAAGAUCCUAAGGGAGGGCAGAGUAGGGGAACUGCCGCAAUGGGGGGAAGGCUUGAGGAGGAAACGCGGGGGAGGGGAGGAGGGCUUCCGAUCGGAAAAACCUUUUAUUAGGGAAGAACAAAUGUGUAAGUAACUAUGCACGUCUUGACGGUACCUAAUCAGAAAGCCACGGCUAACUACGUG
This 497-nucleotide ribosomal RNA is filed under the name uncultured bacterium. RNAcentral describes it as "partial 16S ribosomal RNA". It matches the Rfam family "Bacterial small subunit ribosomal RNA", at positions 28 to 507 of the family's 1533-position model. The record is from RNAcentral.